GAUGAACGCUGGCGGCGUGCCUAAUACAUGCAAGUCGAGCGAACGGACGAGAAGCUUGCUUCUCUGAUGUUAGCGGCGGACGGGUGAGUAACACGUGGAUAACCUACCUAUAAGACUGGGAUAACUUCGGGAAACCGUAGCUAAUACCGGAUAAUAUUUUGAACCGCAUGGUUCAAAAGUGAAAGACGGUCUUGCUGUCACUUAUAGAUGGAUCCGCGCUGCAUUAGCUAGUUGGUAAGGUAACGGCUUACCAAGGCAACGAUGCAUAGCCGACCUGAGAGGGUGAUCGGCCACACUGGAACUGAGACACGGUCCAGACUCCUACGGGAGGCAGCAGUAGGGAAUCUUCCGCAAUGGGCGAGAGCCUGACGGAGCAACGCCGCGUGAGUGAUGAAGGUCUUCGGAUCGUAAAACUCUGUUAUUAGGGAAGAACAUAUGUGUAAGUAACUGUGCACAUCUUGACGGUACCUAAUCAGAAAGCCACGGCUAACUACGU
RNAcentral lists this ribosomal RNA (496 nucleotides) under uncultured bacterium. Its description in RNAcentral is "partial 16S ribosomal RNA". It matches the Rfam family "Bacterial small subunit ribosomal RNA", at positions 28 to 506 of the family's 1533-position model. The record is from RNAcentral.